CAGUAGCCGCGGGAAUACGUAGGGUGCGAGCGUUAAUCGGAAUUACUGGGUGUAAAGCGUGCGCAGGCGGUUUUGUAAGACAGGCGUGAAAUCCCCGGGCUCAACCUGGGAAUGGCGCUUGUGACUGCAAAGCUGGAGUGCGGCAGAGGGGGAUGGAAUUCCGCGUGUAGCAGUGAAAUGCGUAGAUAUGCGGAGGAACACCGAUGGCGAAGGCAAUCCCCUGGGCCUGCACUGACGCUCAUGCACGAAAGCGUGGGGAGCAAACAGGAUUAGAUACCCCCGUAGUCCCUGUCUCUUAUAC
This 301-nucleotide ribosomal RNA is filed under the name uncultured bacterium. Its description in RNAcentral is "partial 16S ribosomal RNA". It matches the Rfam family "Bacterial small subunit ribosomal RNA", at positions 509 to 807 of the family's 1533-position model. The record is from RNAcentral.